AUGAACGCUAGCGACAGGCCUAACACAUGCAAGUCGAGGGGCAGCACAAGGAGCAAUCUGAGGUGGCGACCGGCGCACGGGUGAGUAACACGUAUGCAACCUGCCUGUAAGCGGGGAAUAACUCGUUGAAAGACGGACUAAUACCGCAUAAUACUAAAUUACUGCAUGGUAAUUUAUUUAAACAUUUAUGGCUUACAGAUGGGCAUGCGCAUGAUUAGCUAGUUGGAGAGGUAACGGCUCCCCAAGGCAACGAUCAUUAGGGGUUCUGAGAGGAAGGUCCCCCACACUGGUACUGAAACACGGACCAGACUCCUACGGGAGGCAGCAGUGAGGAAUAUUGGUCAAUGGACGAGAGUCUGAACCAGCCAAGUCGCGUGCAGGAAGAAUGUUCCCUAUGGAUUGUAAACUGUCUUUUGCAGGGGAAUAAAGUGCAUCACGUGUGAUGUUUUGUAUGUACUCUGCGAAUAAGGAUCGGCUAACUCCGUGCCAGCCGCGGC
Molecule: ribosomal RNA, 497 nt
Filed under: uncultured bacterium
Lineage: Bacteria
Description: bacterial SSU rRNA
Rfam family: Bacterial small subunit ribosomal RNA
Source: RNAcentral